CAGGUACCUUUCUUGUAAAUGGCUUGCCUGCAAAUGUACUAUUUGAUUCCGGAGCCAACUACUCCUUUGUGUCGCAUAAAUUUGGUGGGAAAUUAGCAUUGCCUGUAGAAAAACUUGAUAAUGCCCUGAUUGUAGAAGUUUCCAGUGGCAAAUUCGUACCUGUUAGUAAUCGUAUUAGGAACAUCGUCAUUGACCUAAACGGAAACGAAUUCCACUUGGAGCUAUUACCCAUAGAGUUAAACGGUUUCGACAUCGUUUUGGGUAUGGAUUGGCUUAGCACCAACGAUGCUGAGAUUCAAUGCCGAAAGAAGAUAGUAAGGGUGAACCCACCCGGAAAGGAAUCAUUUAUGGUGUACGGGGACAAACGUAGAGUGAAUUCUAGAAUCAUCUCCCUGAUGAAAGCCAGGAAAUGUUUGUCCAAAGGAUGUGCAUCAUACUUGCCAUUUGUAAUCGAUGCUAAGAAAGAAAAGAAAGAGGUGCAGAAUAUACCGGUUGUACGUGAUUAUCUGGAAGUCUUUCCCAAAGAUCUUCCCAGAUUACCACCUGAUAGACAAGUGGAGUUUCGUAUUGACUUGUUACCAGGAACAACACCGAUAGCAAAAGCACCAUACCGAUUAGCACCGACGGUGAUGAAGGAGCUCAUGACGCAACUUCAGGAGCUGUUGGACAACGGUUUCAUUCGACCUAGUUCAUCACCCUAGGGAGCUCCGGUGUUAUUCGUGAAGAAGAAGGACGGAAGUAUGAGAAUGUGUAUAGACUACCGAGAGCUGAAUAAGGCAACGGUGAAGAACAAGUAUCCAUUGCCGAGGAUCGAUGACCUAUUCGAUCAGCUGCAAGGUUCGAGCUACUUCUCAAAGAUCGAUCUUAGGUCAGGAUAUCAUCAGCUAAAGGUGAGAAAGCAGGAUAUUGAGAAGACUGCAUUCAGAACGAGAUAUGGACAUUACGAGUUCUUGGUUAUGUCAUUUGGACUAACCAAUGCCCCUGCAACAUUCAUGGAUUUGAUGAACAGGGUUUGUAAACCAUUCCUCGAUAAAUCUGUGAUAGUGUUCAUCGACGACAUUCUGAUCUACUCGAAAAGCCAAGAGGAGCAUGGCAAGCAUCUACGGGAAGUGUUGGAAGUGUUAAAGAAGGAGAAGCUUUACGCUAAGUUCUCCAAGUGUGAUUUUUGGAUCCGAGAAGUCCAAUUCUUGGGUCAUGUGGUUAACCAAGAAGGGAUAAUGGUUGACCCAGCAAAAAUCGAAGCUGUAAUGAAGUGGGAACGUCCAAAGAGUCCCACGGAGAUUCGAAGCUUUCUAGGAUUAGCCGGAUAUUAUCGACGAUUUAUCCAAGGCUUUUCUUCGAUAGCUGCUCCAUUAACAGCUUUGACUCAUAAAGGAGCUACGUAUACGUGGAGUGAGAAACACGAUGAGGCAUUCGAGAAGCUAAAGAAGAAGUUAUGUGAAGCACCGAUACUUUCUCUACCCGAUGGAGUCGAAGAUUUCGCGGUUUAUAGUGACGCUUCUGGAGUCGGGUUGGGUUGUGUUCUGACCCAAAGAGAAAAGGUGAUAGCAUACGCAUCUCGACAAUUGAAAGAGCACGAAAAGAACUACCCCACUCAUGAUCUGGAGUUGGCAGCGGUAGUUUUUGCCUUAAAGAUAUGGAGGCAUUACCUCUACGGCACGAAGUGCAAGCUCUUCACUGAUCAUAAGAGUCUCCAGUAUCUCUUUAAUCAGAAGGAGUUGAACAUGAGGCAACGACGCUGGCUAGAACUUCUCAAGGACUACGACUGUGAGAUACUUUACCACCCAGGUAAAGCAAAUAUUGUUGCUGAUGCUCUCAGUCGGAAAGUCAAUCUUGAAAGGAAAAGGCCAAGAGCGUUAAGAAUUGAAGUCGUCUCGACGAUUGUGGAAAGUAUCAGGAAAGCUCAAGAAGAAGCUUUAGAGAAAAAUGACCGAAAGGAAGAACGUUUGGGAAGAACGUUAGUGUUCGGUACAAACAGUCGAGGACUGAAGGUAUUCCAAGAUCGAAUUUGGGUACCUAAGACGGGAGGAAUAAGAGAUCUUCUGAUGGAAGAAGCACACAAGACCAUGUACUCGAUUCAUCCCGGUAGCACUAAAAUGUAUAGGGACCUAAAACCCUACUACUGGUGGCCGACGAUGAAGCUCGAUGUUGCGAAGUAUGUGGCCGAGUGCGUAACAUGUGCGAGGGUUAAGGCACAACAUCAGAAACCGUAUGGGAGUUUAGAACCUUUACCUGUACCCAUGGGUAAAUGGGAAGACAUCACCAUGGAUUUUGUGACUAAACUGCCCAGGACGAAGAACGGUCACGACAUGAUUUGGGUAGUCGUGGAUCGUUUCACCAAGAGUGCACACUUCAUAGCAGCCAACGAGAAGUGGUCUAUGGAUAAGCUCGCAAAUGCUUACGUGAAGGAAAUUGUAAGACUUCACGGUGUCCCUCUUACGAUUGUAUCAGAUCGUGAUAGUCGUUUCACGUCAAGGUUUUGGAGGAGUCUACAAGAGGAGUUAGGUACAAAGUUGUGUUUGAGUACUGCUUAUCAUCCGCAAACUGAUGGUCAGAGCGAAAGAACGAUUCAGACGCUGGAAGAUAUGCUGAGAGCAUGUACCCUCGAAUUCCAAGGGAAUUGGGACGAGCACUUACCUCUGGUAGAAUUUUCCUACAACAAUAGUUUUCACUCGAGCAUCAAGAUGGCUCCUUAUCAAGCCUUGUAUGGGCAGAAGUGUCGUACGCCGUCUUGUUGGCUUGAAGCCGGAGAGAAGCAGUUUAUGGGCCCCGAGAUAGUCCAUGAGACUGCUGAGAAGUUGAAGGUGAUUAGGGAAAGGAUGUUAGCAGCCCAGGAUCGUCAGAAGAGCUAUGCUGACAAGAAAAGACGACCGAUAACUUUCGAAGUUGGGGAUUCCGUUUUGCUUAAAGUCUCACCGUGGAAGGGACUUAUACGAUUUGGGAAACGAGGAAAGUUGAGUCCAAGGUUUAUUGGACCGUUCAAAGUUCUUCAGAAGAUAGGGAACCAAGCUUACAAGCUGGAAUUGCCCGAAGAACUCAAUGGUAUUCAUAACACCUUCCAUGUGUGUUAUUUGAGGAAAUUCACGGGAGAUGUUCCCGACAUAAUUCCAAUCUCAGAGUUAAGGAUGGAUGAAAAUAAAAGGUUGAUCGAAGAGCCUGAGGCAAUUGUUGACCGUAAGACUAAGAAGUUACGACGCAAGAUGGUCGACUUGGUGCUAGUCCGAUGGAAACAUUCGAAUGGGCCGAAUCUCACUUGGGAAACAGAGGAUGACAUGAUGAGUCGCUAUCCACAUCUGUUUGCUGAUGCAUGAUUCCGGGACGGAAUCAUCCUAAGGGGGAGAGAAUUGUAACGCCCGGGUUUCAGGGCUAAGCAUUUUUGUCAAUGUAAUAGUCUAGGUCAACUCUUGUAACUCUUUUUGAAGUAAUAAAGAUGAAAUAUUUGAGUAUUAUGUGAAUUAUAUGUGUUUAUUAUUUAAUUAUAAAUGUAUAAUUAAUAAAGAAUAAAAAUGAGCGUCAAAAUUAAAGUGUGAGAUAAUCCCGAUAUCUCUACAUAAAGUUGUAGAAUAUGUCUCAAGGUUUCCGUGCAUAUAAGGAACGCCGAAAUCCGAGUUAUAACGAAGAAGUUAUGACCCGUCGAAGUUUCACGACAGAACCGGCACGAUACCGGGAAGCGUGAAUAGUGAAUUUACGAUAGAGCGAGAUUUAGCCUUAGUGAUCUAAACGAAAGUCGUAGAAUAUGUUAAACUAAGAACAUCGAUAAAAAGAACGCCCAAAUCUGACUUCGUAUGAAGAAGUUAUGAGAUUUUAAACAGACCAAUCCUGUCCCGGCUUGUUAAAAAUAUAACUUUAAAAAUAAAGUCAAAAUUAGCCGACGGAGUCUAAACGAAAGUUGUAGAGUACGUCUUCACCUACGCGUGGAUAUAAAGAACGUCAAAAACGGAGUUCGUAUGAACGAGUUACAAAUUAUAAUAGCAUAUUUACGUAUUAAAAUAAAGUAUAAAUCAUGUAUACGUACACAUAUAUAUACAUAUGUAUAUAUCAUUAGAAAGGUAUCGACGAUGCGGUCAUUAUAAGACUAAUGUUGAGUUCUUUCGACAUUAGUUUAGUACAAAUAUCAUUAAAUCCAUUUAUAAUAGUAUUAUAGAGGGGUGUUUAGUUGUUUAUAUAACUAAAAGGUCAUUAAGUAAUUAUGGAGGGUAGUUUUUGAAAAUUCAAUUAGUAUAAAUAAGAGCCUUGGGCUCUCAUAUUUCUUGCACCAUUCUCUUGAUUCAAGAGUCUUUCUCUCCUUAUCCCCCGAGCAUUUCGGUCCCUCGUGAUUCGACUUCUCUUUCUGUAGCUUAGUAUAGUAAGGUGAGCGCUGAAGCGCUGCACGAAUCUUUCUUAGAAAGAUUCAGCGACGAAGUUCUGCCCCUGCAGAGCCCGACUCCUAGCUAAAACCCCCUUGUAAGUAAGUUAUGCUUACCUUAUUUUAAUAUAGCUUAUAUUUAAAAUUAGUAUUGUUAUUAUGAACUUAUAAUAAAUAUUUGAGCUAUUAUUAUAACUUAUAUAAGUGUCGUUAUAAUAUUUUUUUUAACUACUCGCGGUACGGGGAAUCUGGUUUAAAGGGCCGCAUAGGGUUGUUGGAUUUCAGAAGUGCUAUAUGCCAAAAUGGUCCUGCCCUCCGGUGUUUUAUGUCUGGCCCCUGUCUGUACAUAGUGGUUGGAAAAUAUUGUUUAACGCUUAUAUAAUAAUAAUAAUACUAAGACUAAUAGUUGGUCACGGUAAAUAUUAGACUAAAAUUUAGCGAUAAUAAUGCUAGGUUUCGUCGAAGGAAAAUAGAAUCGUUAGAAGCAAGCGCUGCCCGAUUUUGGAAUCAUCACCUUAACAAGUGAGUGCAUAGUUACUUUCAACUUACACAUAGAUAUGAAGUAUUUUAUAUAAAUUACGUGCUAUGUGUGCAUAUUAUCUGAAUACUUGCUAUCUAUGCUAGAUGAACGUUGUUAUACAUGUUUUCAAUGAUUUAAACUGUAUAUGUAUUUUAUAUCUACGAAAAUGUUGGGGUAAAACAUGGGUAGAUGCAAUAGGUGAUGUGUGAUAAAAUGAUGAGAGGCCUCGAUGUUGAUGUUGUUGAUUCUGUCAUCUAGCGGAGUAUGGAUGACGACCACGGACUCUUCUAGACAGUCCAGUGGAACACUAGCAGGCUCGCAACCUGUAGGUGUUUGUGAACGAUAUGUUCACCGGUGUACUCCAUCCCCCACAUGGUUGCCUUUAGGACAUUUAUUGCUGAGGAAUCCCCUUAGCAGUAGUGUCCGUCCCGAUGAUGAUCCUUAGGCUAGGUCCCUUAUGAUAGGUGUUUAGGGACGUAAAGUGAGGAUAACGGGAACGGGUAAUCGGGUUAUUGUUGAUCGAUGAAAUUAAUAAACUUAUUUAUUGUGGGUUGAAAACCCUAUGUGCUCACCAGGCUCCCAAGCCUGACCCACUCAGUUUUAUGUAUUACAGGUAGUGGCGCAUGAGCAUAGGUGUGAUGUUUUGGACGAGGGAUUACGGAUAUAGGCCUGUAGAUAUGAAAUAAUGUAGUAAGGCUUAUAUUGUACUGUUUAUGCUUUUGAUCUGUACGAACAUGACAUCCCGAGUCUUUUAAUGAAAUACAUUUCUAUGGAAAUGCUUUUGAUAAAUCUUUAUCAUAUUUUUGUUUUGGGACAAAUUCCGCAACACUUUCAUUUAAAAUGUAACUCUGAUUUUUAAACAAAGCAUAAACAAACCGGUCUUUUCUGGCCGUGAUUUUGGGGAUGUCACAGUUGGUAUCAGAGCAUUAGUUUAAGCGAACUAGGAAUUUGUAGGAUUUCUAGACUUAAACUUAGAAUGCUAAGCGAUGAUUGUGAGGUGUGAGCACUAGCUUAUUUUAGGAAUUGUGCCUAAAAUGCUUUUAUGUGCUAAAUGCUUUGUGCAUAAUAUGCUGUUAAUUGUUCGGAUCUAUGGUCUGUUGCCGACCGGAUCUGGAAACCUUAUGUGUUUAGGAUUCUAAACGUACGACUACGAUAUUAGAACUAGCAUGUAAACGUUUCGGAGUGAUAAGGACGAUUUAAAACGUCUAUCCUAAAUAAAGAUCUAAAUUCACCUUAUUCGGUGUAUAGAUCAAGAUGGCAAGGACCCGUAGCGGAAACGUGAACGCAAAUGGAGGUAGGAACCAACCCCCAGUGGUUCAGCAAAUACCUGUUGUUGAAGAAGUUGCACCUGAGCCAGUCACCAUGGCUGGAGUUCAAGCCAUGAUUCAGGCUAUGCUAGCUGAACAAAGGGAAGAAAUGAGACGGAUGCUCCACGAAAAUAGGGACGAACCUACCAUACAUGUUGAACCGACGGAGCCAGUUCCCGAGCCAUCUGAGGAAGGGAACUAUAGCCGCCAAGUGAGUCAAGUAGGGACUCAAGGUGAGCAAAAGGAUGGCCCAGAAGGGAGAAACAACAAGGAUGGGCGGAUGUACAAAAAUUUCUUGGGUGCGAAACCACCAAGUCUCUCAGGAAGCCCAAAGCCUGUUGAGAUUAUGGACUGGAUCUCCGAGAUGGAGAUGGUGUUUGAGAGCUGCGACUGCAGCGAGAAGCAGAAGACUGUCUUCGCUGUGAGACAAUUGAAAACUGGAGUCUUGAGCUGGUGGAAGCUAUUGGCAGAUACAAUGCCACGGGGAGAAGCUCUGAAAAUGUCAUGGGAUGAGUUCUUGGAACAACUGAAGGCGCAGUACUGUUCAGAGAUAGACCUGAUUGAUCUGAACAAUGAGUUCCAAAAUUUGAAGAAGGGGAGAAUGAGCAUCGAUGACUAUGCUGCUGCAUUUACGGAAAAGAUGAAGUUGUUUCCAUACCUAGUGCCAACCGAACUUUCCAAAAUUGAGAAAUUCGCAAACGGACUGCCGGCUGACUUUGGCCCAACAGUCAAGAUGGCAACCACUCUGAAAUCAGCUGUUCGAGCAGCUAAGAACGUGGAGACCCAACAAAAGGAAAGAGGUCUGGAGAGGGCUGAGGUUGGUGAGAAACGGAAGUUCAAUGGAUCCUCGAAGUCCAACAAGAAGAGUAGAUUCUCGAAGUCUGGUUCGAGGGGAGGAGGAUCAGAAGCGAAGUGGUGUGACAAGUGCAAGAAGAAGCACUCUGGGAAGUGUGACGGAGGGGUCACUUGUUACAAGUGCGGAAAGCCUGGGCACUACGCCAAUGAAUGCACCCUCAACCAGAAAGCCUGUUAUGGGUGCAAUGAAGAAGGGCACAUUUUGAAGGACUGCCCGAAGAAGAAGGAGACAGGAAGACCCAACAUACCACCGAAGCCGAAGGCGAGAGCCUUCCAGAUGACGCUCGAGGCUGCAAAGGAGGCAGCAGACGUCGCUUCAGGUACCUUUCUUGUAAAUGGUUUGCCUGCAAAUAUACUAUUUGAUUCCGGAGCCAACUACUCCUUUGUGUCGCAUAAAUUUGGUGGGAAAUUAGCAUUGCCUGUAGAAAAACUAGAUAAUGCCCUGAUUGUAGAAGUUGCCAGUGGCAAAUUCGUACCUGUUAGUAAUCGUAUUAGGAACAUCGUCAUUGACCUAAACGGAAACGAAUUCCACGAAGAGCUAUUACCCAUAGAGUUAAACGGUUUCGACAUCGUUUUGGGUAUGGAUUGGCUUAGCGCCAACGAUGCUGAGAUUCAAUGCCGAAAGAAGAUAGUAAAGGUAAACCCACCCGGAAAAGAAUCAUUUAUGGUGUAUGGGGACAAACGCAGAGUGAAUUCUGGAAUCAUCUCCCUGAUGAAAGCCAGGAAAUGUUUGUCCAAAGGAUGUGCAUCAUACUUGGCAUUCGUAAUCGAUGCCAAGAAGGAGAAGAAAGAGGUGCAGAAUAUACCGGUUGUGUGUGAUUAUCCGGAAGUCUUUCCCGAAGAUCUUCCCGGAUUACCACCUGAUAGGCAAGUGGAGUUUCGUAUAGACU
RNAcentral lists this long non-coding RNA (7917 nucleotides) under Lactuca sativa (garden lettuce). RNAcentral describes it as "long non-coding RNA (LSAT_LNC006935)". Lineage: Eukaryota; Viridiplantae; Streptophyta; Magnoliopsida; Asterales; Asteraceae. The record is from RNAcentral.